This 225-nucleotide long non-coding RNA is filed under the name Lathyrus oleraceus (garden pea). RNAcentral's name for it is "Pisum sativum (pea) long non-coding RNA (PSAT_LNC002603)". Lineage: Eukaryota; Viridiplantae; Streptophyta; Magnoliopsida; Fabales; Fabaceae. The record is from RNAcentral.
UUACUUCGAUAUUAUGGCCAUCUUUAUUUGAUGCCUUGAUCUUCAUAUGAUUCUUUGAUAUUGCUUAUUUCUUGUUGUUUUCUAAAGUCCAAAGGAAAACGCGUUUCUAUAUGACAUUCUUGUCUGUUGGAUUGCAUCCAUUUGGUUAGAUCUUUUUAACCCUUAACUUUUAGUUAUUGUCUAAGAUAGUCUCUUCAUCUCCUCCUACUUAUUAAAUUUCAAAAU